This 664-nucleotide ribosomal RNA is filed under the name Rhizophagus manihotis. Its description in RNAcentral is "partial small subunit ribosomal RNA". The stretch from base 68 to 664 matches the Rfam family "Eukaryotic small subunit ribosomal RNA", at positions 1 to 1031 of the family's 1831-position model. The record is from RNAcentral. Lineage: Eukaryota; Fungi; Glomeromycota; Glomeromycetes; Glomerales; Glomeraceae.
AUUCGGUGAUUGUGACCAUCUUUCAAUGCUAGAUUAAAGUUUUCUAUCUGUUUGGUUCCACCCCCUUUUUUUGGGUCCUCAUCCAAUUCUUAUUUUUUGUUUUCCAGAUCUUUUUUUUUAUACCCCUUUUCUUUCGGAUCUCGUAAUUGGAAUGAGUACAAUUUAAAUCUCUUAACGAGGAACAAUUGGAGGGCAAGUCUGGUGCCAGCAGCCGCGGUAAUUCCAGCUCCAAUAGCGUAUAUUAAAGUUGUUGCAGUUAAAAAGCUCGUAGUUGAAUUUCGGGGUCAGUAGGUUGGUCGUGCCACCGGUACGUACUGGUCUCACUGAUUCCUCCUUCCUGAAGAACCGUAAUGCCAUUAAUUUGGUGUUGCGGGGAAACAGGACUGUUACUUUGAAAAAAUUAGAGUGUUUAAAGCAAGCUAACGCUUGAAUACAUUAGCAUGGAAUAAUGAAAUAGGACGAUCGAUCCUAUUUUGUUGGUUUCUAGGAUUGACGUAAUGAUUAAUAGGGAUAGUUGGGGGCAUUAGUAUUCAGUUGUCAGAGGUGAAAUUCUUGGAUUUAUUGAAGACUAACUACUGGGAAAGUAUUUGCUAAGGAUGUUUUCUGUAACAGGAACGAAGGUUAGGGGAUCGAAGACGAUCCNAUACCGGCGUACUCGUAAACC